AAAUGGAAAGUUGCCCGAAUUAGAGUUUCCAUUUUUGGCUAGCCGACUUCUCUCUCUCUCUCUCUCUCUCUCUCUCUCUCGGCCGAAAUGAGCUCAAAACAGAGCAACUUUUCACCGGUCGAUCUCUCCCUCCUCAGGCCACCUCAAGACGUCGGAUCACCUCCAUUAGCUUCGCCUCGACCUUGCGCAGCUGCCAGUGGCAGCCUUGUGCCGCAACACGGCCGGAAGCGGCAGCGGUGGACUCGGCUCCGUUUUGAGCCGAUUUCGAGUCGAUCUCGAUAUCUCGAGAUACAGGCCACCAAUUCUCUUGAUUUUUGGCUCGUUGGACUCACCUCAACUUCCUGAACAAGCACCAAGAAGGACCGGACCUGGGUAGAUCGAUUUCACUUUCGUCGGAGCUCAACCCUUCUAGAUCGAAAAACAACCUUUCGAUCCGGAUAUCUCGAGUUACCGACCACUAUUCCUGGUGAUUCUUGGCCUGGUGAACUCGCCUCGAGUUUCUGAACAAGUAUCCAGAAGGGAUCGAGGCGAGUGGUGGAAGUUUUACGUCGAACUGGAGCUCGCCGGUUUCUGGAAAAAUUCCGGCCAAACCGGACUGUUGAGGUGAUUGACGGUUUGAGUUGGUGGAUGAUUGGAAACCGUAUUUUACGCUGGGAAGACACAGCGGGAUUGGAGCGGAUAAUCCUGCAGGUCAGGAUAAUCAGGGUCGAGAGCAAGCUGUGUAGGGCAGCGGGGUUGACAUCAGCACUUGGUCUAUUUGGUGUGUUUUAUAGACUCUUUCGAGCGUAACAUUUUAUCUAUGUUGGUGUUGUAGUAAUUGACUUGAGAGUUAGUUUUGCUACAAGGCUUGUAUUAUGGUUUGUGAGACGCUGAUUAAGAAAAAAAUUCAGGACGUUAUUUGUAUUGGUUAUUAUUCAUGUUUCGGAUUUGAAUUUGUUAUUCAAAAUUCGGGGCGUGAAAAAUGGCAACCCAUUAUUAUUAACGUAUCGGGCAUAGGUAGCCCUAGGCGUUAAAAGUCAAGACAUAGCUAACGGGGAGUGCAAUGGCAGCCCAUUAUUAUUAACAUAUCGGGCUUAGGUAGCCCUAGGCUUGAAUAGCCAAGACAUAGCUAACAGAUGUGCAAUGGCAACUCAUUAUUAUGAAGCUACAUGGUAUAGGCAUGUAUGAUAGCCAUCAUUUUUGGCAAAAUCAUCAGAUCAUUGAGUUGAUCUUAUUUUG
Long non-coding RNA from Rosa chinensis, 1218 nucleotides. RefSeq lists it as uncharacterized. The transcript is spliced from 3 exons. The record is from RefSeq and is a predicted model, not a curated record. NCBI's taxonomy places the organism in Eukaryota, Viridiplantae, Streptophyta, Magnoliopsida, Rosales, Rosaceae.